GACGAACGCUGGCGGCGUGCUUAACACAUGCAAGUCGAACGGAAAGGCCCUGCUUUUGUGGGGUGCUCGAGUGGCGAACGGGUGAGCAACACGUGAGUAACCUGCCCUUGACUUUGGGAUAACUUCAGGAAACUGGGGCUAAUACCGGAUAGGAGCUCCUGCUGCAUGGUGGGGGUUGGAAAGUUUCGGCGGUUGGGGAUGGACUCGCGGCUUAUCAGCUUGUUGGUGGGGUAGUGGCUUACCAGGCUUUGACGGGUAGCCGGCCUGAGAGGGUGACCGGCCACAUUGGGACUGAGAUACGGCCCAGACUCCUACGGGAGGCAGCAGUGGGGAAUAUUGCACAAUGGGCGGAAGCCUGAUGCAGCAACGCCGCGUGCGGGAUGACGGCCUUCGGGUUGUAAACCGCUUUCGCCUGUGACGAAGCGUGAGUGACGGUAAUGGGUAAAGAAGCACCGGCUAACUACGUG
RNAcentral lists this ribosomal RNA (467 nucleotides) under uncultured bacterium. RNAcentral describes it as "partial 16S ribosomal RNA". It matches the Rfam family "Bacterial small subunit ribosomal RNA", at positions 28 to 507 of the family's 1533-position model. The record is from RNAcentral.